AGUAGGGAAUAUUGGGCAAUGGGCGAAAGCCUGACCCAGCCAUGCCGCGUGCAGGAUGACAGCCCUAUGGGUUGUAAACUGCUUUUAUUUGGGAAGAAACCUUUGGAUUUAUCUGAAGUUGACGGUACCUUAUGAAUAAGCACCGGCUAACUCCGUGCCAGCAGCCGCGGUAAUACGGAGGGUGCAAGUGUUAUCCGGAUUUACUGGGUUUAAAGGGUGCGUAGGCGGGAUAGCAAGUCAGUGGUGAAAUCCUACAGCUUAACUGUAGAACUGCCAUUGAAACUGCUUUUCUUGAGUAUAGUUGAGGUGGGCGGAAUGUAGCAUGUAGCGGUGAAAUGCUUAGAUAUGCUACAGAACGCCGAUUGCGAAGGCAGCUCACUAAACUAUUACUGACGCUGAGGCACGAAAGCGUGGGUAGCGAACAGGAUUAGAUACCCUGGUAGUCCACGCCCUAAACGAUGAUCACUCGACAUGUGCGAUAUACUGUACGUGUCCAAGCAAAAGCGUUAA
This 510-nucleotide ribosomal RNA is filed under the name uncultured bacterium. Its description in RNAcentral is "bacterial SSU rRNA". It matches the Rfam family "Bacterial small subunit ribosomal RNA", at positions 353 to 863 of the family's 1533-position model. The record is from RNAcentral.